ACAGCCCGGGCUCGGGAGGACGCGCGCGCGGCGCACCCAGAAGCAGGGAUCGCUCAGGAUUUCUCUAACUUCAGGAACAGCCGCUACCCUCCCCCAGCCCAUCUCACUGGAGCAGCCGUGAAGCAGAAAGACCUGCUCGCUGGAGAAACUGACAAUAAAAGUGACAAUAACGA
Long non-coding RNA from Myotis brandtii (Brandt's bat), 173 nucleotides. RefSeq lists it as uncharacterized. Lineage: Eukaryota; Metazoa; Chordata; Mammalia; Chiroptera; Vespertilionidae. The record is from RefSeq and is a predicted model, not a curated record. The transcript has 2 exons.